CCUACGGGUGGCAGCAGUGGGGGAUAUUGCACAAUGGGGGGAACCCUGAUGUAGCGACGCCGCGUGGGUGAAGAAGCGCCUCGGCGCGUAAAGCCCUGUCAGCAGGGAAGCAAAUGCCGGUACCUGAAGAAGAAGCCCCGGCUAACUACGUGCCAGCAGCCGCGGUUAUACGUAGGGGGCAAGCGUUAUCCGGAUUUACUGGGUGUAAAGGGGGCGCAGACGGCGAUGCAAGCCAGGAGUGAAAGCACGGGGCCCAACCGCGGGACUGCGAUUGGAACUGGGGGGCUGGAGUGGAGGAGGGGGAGGCGGAAUGCCUGGUGGAGCGGUGAAAUGCGUAGAUAUCAGGAGGAACACCGGUGGCGAAGGCGGCCGGCUGGACUGAAACUGACGUUGAGGCCCGAAAGCGUGGGGAGCAAACAGGAUUAGAUACCCCAGUAGUC
Molecule: ribosomal RNA, 440 nt
Filed under: uncultured bacterium
Lineage: Bacteria
Description: partial 16S ribosomal RNA
Rfam family: Bacterial small subunit ribosomal RNA
Source: RNAcentral